GGCCCCGUAGCUCAGCUGGAUAGAGCGACGCCCUCCUAAGGCGUAGGUCGCACGUUCGAAUCGUGCCGGGGUCGCCA
This 77-nucleotide transfer RNA is filed under the name Luteimonas dalianensis. Its description in RNAcentral is "tRNA-Arg". It matches the Rfam family "tRNA". Rfam says of the family: Transfer RNA (tRNA) molecules are approximately 80 nucleotides in length. Their secondary structure includes four short double-helical elements and three loops (D, anti-codon, and T loops). Further hydrogen bonds mediate the characteristic L-shaped molecular structure. tRNAs have two regions of fundamental functional importance: the anti-codon, which is responsible for specific mRNA codon recognition, and the 3' end, to which the tRNAs corresponding amino acid is attached (by aminoacyl-tRNA synthetases). tRNAs cope with the degeneracy of the genetic code in two manners: having more than one tRNA (with a specific anti-codon) for a particular amino acid; and 'wobble' base-pairing, i.e. permitting non-standard base-pairing at the 3rd anti-codon position. Lineage: Bacteria; Pseudomonadati; Pseudomonadota; Gammaproteobacteria; Lysobacterales; Lysobacteraceae. The record is from RNAcentral. RNAcentral also lists the same sequence under 3 other names.